Molecule: non-coding RNA, 2243 nt
Organism: Phasianus colchicus (ring-necked pheasant)
Lineage: Eukaryota; Metazoa; Chordata; Aves; Galliformes; Phasianidae
Source: RefSeq, a predicted model, not a curated record
UACAAAGCACUGUGGCCACCUAGUGAAGCAAUGCUAGGCCUACAGCAGGAGGGGAGGGAAAAGGCGGGUGCUCAUUGUCACAGGACCUGGUGGCCUACAUCUUGUAAACCAGCAAACAUUUGCCGACUAGCUGCAGACCAGCCCACACCACCCUCCGCUAUAACUGCCAGCAGAGUACUGGGAGACAGCAAUAGAAGAGGAGAAGGAUGGUGCUUGUUCACUGGAAGGUGAGGAGGCCUCUAUUCUGGUGGCGGAGUUCGUAUAGGGAGAGGGGAUCCAAAUGUGGCAAAGGCGAACAGGAGGCAGCAGCGGUGACGGUGGAGGGGGACAAAUGAGACAAGGGGAGAAGCCAUUUCCACUACUGCCACAGAGAACCUGAGUGGCCUUGUGAGGCAGGAGGACUGCUGAGGUUGCAGUGCUGGCAAUCUUGGACCGCUUGUGUGGCAGUCCUAAGCACCCAUUCCCCCAGCAGGUAAGUGAGUUGUGAAUGUGGGUUUGGGGAGAAUGCAUGGCUUGUUGCACUGGUCUGGCGUGGCCUGUACUAGAUUAGUUUAGCCUAGCCUAGUACUGGGCAGAAGCAGAGGGAGUUGCUGUAAGAUGAGCUGGAACCACCGCUCCUAGCUCUCCCCCCCCCCCGAGACUGAUGUUAUUUAUAUACUUGCAGUGUUUUGGCUCUGUUACCCUUCCUUUGCCGCUUGUCUCAGCGGCCUGCCCGGAAACCACAGGAAGCGGGCGAGAGUGGGGCCGUGGGGCGUUUGGGCUCAUGUUGCCAAUCUCUCUUUCCCUUCCCAUGCAGCACCCCGGCUCCUUAGAACCCCCCCUCCCCCAGCCUUUGGGGACUGCUUUCUUCCUCUAUUACAGUCCCUCUCAGUAUCCAUUUCCCCUCCCCUUGCUGGAGGGGAGGGAUCGCAGCUGCACGCACCCCCCUUUCUUUCUACCGAGUUAUUGUAUUGUGGGCUGGGGCCCUUCUAGGGUCUCCCCGCCUCUCUGUCGGUAGCGCACGUUGGCGUAGGGAGACAUACCUCCGCCCUGCCCCCUCCCGUCACAAAGGGGGUGUGAGAGUGGUGGCGGGGAUCGGCCGCUUUGCAGCAGCUGGAGCUGGGGAGUCGCCGCUGUGUUAACGCACUGAGCUGGCUGAACUGAGAAUGCACGUACCGGUACCUGGGAUACCCAGAGUGUGCGUGUAUAUACGCGCGCUCCACUCGGGUUCCUUUGUCUGCCGCUGCUUUCUCCUCCCUCCUCUCCUUUCUUUCCUCCUCCCUUCUUUCCUCUCUCUCCCAGACUAAUUGCUGCUGCAGCUGCAGGUUUGUAAAUACUGGACCAACACAUACAACAUGGCUGACGCUUGCCCUGCUUCUUCACCAGGCUCUUCUCCUCCCUCUGUCUCUGCUGCUUAGUCUCUCCUCCGUUUAGGGUUUUGUUACUCCCCCCUCAUCUCCCAAAAAAAAAAAAAAAAAAAAAAAAAAAAAAAAAAAGAAAAGAAAGAAAAAAAAAAGAAAAAAGAGAGAGGAAAAAGCAAUGCACAAUCCUUAUUUCAUGCAUGGGUAAGUAUCUUCUCUUUGAAAGCUUUUUACAACAAAAUGAAACCUAAAAUCAGAGUGGAAUUGAAAACCUGGCAAGGCUUAGAGGAUGGCAGGGGAGAAUUGGCUGAGCCCUGCUGAGAUGCUGAGAAAGAAGCUUGAUUGGAAUGCUUGUGUCUUUCUUUUUUUGGGGGGAUGAGGGAGGGGGAUGAUGUGUCAAAUUGCUGACAGAGAUGAAGUACUGUGUUACACUUGCAAUAUGAUCUUGCACCAUUUAUUUCAUUUUAGGACAUAGUUCAGUCAGUAUAAGGUAUCAACUCAGCACAGUCAUUCUGAAAAGAUCUGAUUAGAAUAGGCAUGUAGGUAGAGUAGCAUAGUCUUUUGGGGUGAGGUUCUUGACUUUUCCUGUAUCUCCUUGUCAGUAUCUUAAAUAGCUUGCAGAUCAUAGGAGAUAAAACUGGAAUUAACACUUGUUGGGUCUCUUUGCAUUGCUAGUUUUCUGUCACAGGUUACGUUGCCGUAGCGAUAACAAUAGCACAAAUGGAAGCAUUUUUUUUUCCCUGUCAAAGAAAAAACAUUAUGAACUGAAGUGUGAUACUGAUUGACAGCGUGCUUCUGACCUGUCCUAACACAAGGCAAAUGUUCAGUUCAGCACCUCCAACCACAGUUACUCAGAACACCCUUCGAUGAAAAUACCCUAUAAAAAAAAAAAAAAAAAAAAAG